RNAcentral lists this ribosomal RNA (274 nucleotides) under uncultured bacterium. Its description in RNAcentral is "partial 16S ribosomal RNA". It matches the Rfam family "Bacterial small subunit ribosomal RNA", at positions 523 to 796 of the family's 1533-position model. The record is from RNAcentral.
CUACGGAGGGUGCAAGCGUUACUCGGAAUCACUGGGCGUAAAGCGCGCGCAGGCGGCUUGAUAAGUUGGAUGUGAAAGCCUACGGCUCAACCGUAGAACUGCAUCCAAAACUGUCAAGCUCGAGUCUGGGAGGGGAAGAUGGAAUUAGUUGUGUAGGGGUAAAAUCCGUAGAGAUAACUAGGAAUACCAAAAGCGAAGGCGAUCUUCUGGAACAGUACUGACGCUGAGGCGCGAAAGCGUGGGGAGCAAACAGGAUUAGAAACCCCUGUAGUCC